RNAcentral lists this long non-coding RNA (582 nucleotides) under Diabrotica virgifera virgifera (western corn rootworm). RNAcentral's name for it is "uncharacterized LOC126883132". The record is from RNAcentral. Lineage: Eukaryota; Metazoa; Arthropoda; Insecta; Coleoptera; Chrysomelidae.
CAGCACAGGUCAUCUUUAAGAUAUCUUAUUUACAACCAAAUAUGGUCUUAAUGUCUUAGGUCUCAAUUAAGACUUUUAAAAGAUAUCUUUAAAACGCCAAAUUUAAGAUAUCUUUAAAACGCCAAAUUUAAGAUAUCUUUUAGACAUCAUAUUUAAGACAUUUUUUCUUAAAAUACGUUAUGUUAUAAUUACGAAUUUAAAAGUUAGGUUAGGUUAGUAAAAUAUUUAAGACAAGAGCUGGUAGCAAAAAGACAAACUCCAAACAAAAGCUUUUUCACAUCAAUGACUUCAGUGGUAUUUCCCAUAUUAUGGUUUUAUUUGAGGGAUAUUUAGAAGACUACAGAUUUUAAUAAUGCAGUAGGUAUCGGAGCUUGUUAAAGUAGGAGGAGCAAAAGCCUAUGAUUUUGUAUAAAUAGUUGGAAAAUUAAUUAUUAGCAAUGAGCAAGCUUUAAGUACAGUUGGCUGGGACAAAAAGGCAAACACAAAAGUUUUGUGAUACUAGAAUUGCAAAUCUGAUAAUUGGUAAAGCUUAUUCUACAUGUACAUGUAAAAUUUUAAUAGCAAUAAACGUAUUUUUAGAAA